RNAcentral lists this ribosomal RNA (795 nucleotides) under uncultured bacterium. Its description in RNAcentral is "bacterial SSU rRNA". It matches the Rfam family "Bacterial small subunit ribosomal RNA", at positions 58 to 848 of the family's 1533-position model. The record is from RNAcentral.
CAAGUCGAACGGAUAUCUUCGGAUAUGAGUGGCGAACGGGUGAGUAACACGUAGUGAACCUGCCUGCAUGAGCGGGAGAACUUCUGGAAACGGAAGCUGAUACCGGAUGAGCAAAGAGGAGGCAUCUUCUUUUUGGAAAAGGGGACAAGAGUCCCGCAUGCAGAUGGACCUGCGGUGCAUUAGCUGGUUGGAGAGGUAACGGCUCACCAAGGCGACGAUGCAUAGCCGGCCUGAGAGGGCGGACGGCCACACUGGGACUGAGACACGGCCCAGACUCCUGCGGGAGGCAGCAGUAGGGAAUUUUCGUCAAUGGGGGGAACCCUGAACGAGCAAUGCCGCGUGAGCGAGGAAGGUCUUCGGAUCGUAAAGCUCUGUUGCCGGGGACAAAAGGCAGAAAGAGUGGAAAGCUUUCUGAGCGAUGGUACCCGGCGAGGAAGUCACGGCUAACUACGUGCCAGCAGCCGCGGUAAUACGUAGGUGGCGAGCGUUAUCCGGAAUGAUUGGGCGUAAAGGGUGCGCAGGCGGCCGGGCAAGUCCGCAGUAAAAACUGGAGGCUCAACCUUCAGGGGCUGCGGAAACUGUCCGGCUGGAGAGCAGGAGAGGACGGUGGGACUCCAUGUGUAGCGGUAAAAUGCGUAGAUAUAUGGAAGAACACCGGUGGCGAAGGCGGCCGUCUGGCCUGCAUCUGACGCUGAGGCACGAAAGCGUGGGGAGCAAAUAGGAUUAGAUACCCUGGUAGUCCACACUGUAAACGAUGGAUACUAGAUGUAGGAGGUAUCGACUCCUUCUGCGUCG